CUGGAAUUUGUCAGCUUACAGACCUAACCUUGCCAUCCUCCUUCCCUCUCUAGGGAGCCUACAAAGAGGUCCAGGAAGGUUUUCUUUUUAAAAUGUCAGAAGUUGCUAUUUGUUCUCCUUUCUCAGAAUAGAGUAAUAGUUUGGCACUUCUCUCUUGAAAAAAGUUGUGCUCCCAACAGAUAUAAUCCUGGCUGGGUACAUCUUGGGUCAUUCAUGGGGAUAGAGUAGGCAGGGUGUGUAGAAUCUUCUUCCAUCACAGCAUGAAACUGAGUGAAGACUUCAGACCAUGACAUCUGCAGAUGUUGGGCUUCAGUUGUGGGUUCCUCCAUUUUAUACUCCUUUCUUCCUGCUGGUGGGCAUGAUGGCUGGAGUUGAUGCAGUCAUUUUAGCACAAUGGGGAAAAGACCACGUGAGUACUAGAGGCUUCAUUAUGAAUAACAUUGAACAACUGGAACAACGCUAGCAGCUGCAAAUCCUCAAACUUCUCAUUAUGUGUCAAAAAUAAACUACUUGUAUUAGACAC
Molecule: long non-coding RNA, 523 nt
Filed under: Homo sapiens (human)
Lineage: Eukaryota; Metazoa; Chordata; Mammalia; Primates; Hominidae
Description: HSALNT0242580
Source: RNAcentral